RNAcentral lists this ribosomal RNA (252 nucleotides) under uncultured bacterium. Its description in RNAcentral is "partial 16S ribosomal RNA". It matches the Rfam family "Bacterial small subunit ribosomal RNA", at positions 524 to 776 of the family's 1533-position model. The record is from RNAcentral.
UACGUAGGGGGCUAGCGUUGUCCGGAAUCAUUGGGCGUAAAGAGCGUGUAGGCGGCCCGGUAAGUCCGCUGUGAAAGUCGGGGGCUCAACCCUCGGAUGCCGGUGGAUACUGUCGGGCUCGAGUACGGAAGAGGCGAGUGGAAUUCCUGGUGUAGCGGUGAAAUGCGCAGAUAUCAGGAGGACCCCCUAUUGCGAAGGCAGCUCGCUGGGACGUUACUGACGCUGAGACGCGAAGCGUGGGGAGCAAACAGG